This is a long non-coding RNA of Formica exsecta, 1512 nucleotides long. RefSeq lists it as uncharacterized. The record is from RefSeq and is a predicted model, not a curated record. Lineage: Eukaryota; Metazoa; Arthropoda; Insecta; Hymenoptera; Formicidae. The transcript has 3 exons.
UUUAGUUGGUUGAUGGGCUAGCUCGGCUCCAAAUACGUUAAGCACAGGCAUACGAACGAGAAUACUAGUCGUUAUUUAACAACAAAAGAAAAAACCGAUGUCGUGUAACGACGCGGAAUCACGCGAGCGACGUCGAACGAGCUGUCGGAGCACACGCGAUUGAGGUGAAAAUUUCGAAUAUUGCGUGAGUCAACAACGUCGCGACAACGAAAGUCGUCCACUGGAACACAUCAAUGUAUGUCACAAUUUACGCCAACGUGCAACAAAAUUAUCUCUGUCGUUCUCCGGUUUUGUGUACCAGAAGCGACGCACGAUUGCAGCGUACAUGCAGAGAAAAAAUAAAAUAGACCGAGCAACGGGAACGACGCUGGGGUACAUUGUGAUGACACACGGUGAAUAUUGAUUCUCGAAUUUUCAUUGCUCUGUUGAAGAGAAUCGAGAGAAAAAUGCAUUCUCGACAAGCUGCAGCGGCGCAUUUGACUUUUAUAUCGCGCAUAUUCUUGUUUUUCCUAGCGAUUGGAUGUACAACACAUCCAAAAUCAUGGGAUAUAUUUAAUUUAUCUAUAAACUCGCUUACGGUUAUGUAGGCGAUGCCUCCUGAAAAUGUACAAGAGAUAGCAAUUUUUGCGGAUAAUGCUCAACGUUCCAGCCGAUUGUGGAAUGACGUUACUCGUUCUCAAUUUUUUUAAACGAUGUAUAAAUAUUUUUCACUCAAGAGAGUCGAGAGAAAAUUGUUUAUUUUUUUCGCAAAUACACUGAAAGCUCGCCGCGAUUUAUAAACACUCUGUACCAUAUCAUGUACUACGAUAUUAGAUAUGUACAAUAUAUGGUACACAUCCACGGAAUGUAAUGGGAAAUCGAUAGCAUGUCCAACCUGUGUGAAAAACUGUGUAUAUGUGUGUUUGUAUAUAUAAAGGUAACCUUUUAUAAUAUUUUUAGAGAUAGGAAUAUAUACACACUUGCCAAUAUAUUUAGUCGAGUCUAUUGAGCAAACAAUCGUUGAAGGACAGAGAUUGUAUCUUAAUAUGAAGAAAACGAUUAAUCAUGCAUAUAACUUUUAUGCACAAUUUUCACUAAGAUGACUUGCAAAUUUUUAUAUCUAUGACGCAUUAGGAAUAUAUAUAAAUGGAACGAGUAUCUUUAUAGAUUCCAUAUUAAAAUAUGAUAAAGUAUACAAAAAAAUAUCAUCAGACUUGACAUACUCGAUUAGCAUUAAAACAAAAAAAAAUUUCUUCUGAAAAGGCAUCUCAAUCAUCGCUAACAUAUAACAAAUCAAAUAAGUUUGCCGGACAAAGAAUAUGUUAUAUUGUACUCACUUCUCAUUAACUUAAUUAGUAUCCUCAUUCUUUUCUCGCAUUUAUCGCUCGAAUAUGGCAUCACAUUUCUUACAAAAUUAAAUCUAGGCGUGGUUUGUUUACUACGCCUACGAUUAAUUAACAUGGAAUAACUUAUAAUUUCAUACAUUGUGUAGAUAUCUACAAUAUAACAAAUAUUAUAUAAAAAUAUAUGCGU